RNAcentral lists this ribosomal RNA (496 nucleotides) under uncultured bacterium. Its description in RNAcentral is "partial 16S ribosomal RNA". It matches the Rfam family "Bacterial small subunit ribosomal RNA", at positions 29 to 507 of the family's 1533-position model. The record is from RNAcentral.
AUGAACGCUGGCGGCGUGCCUCAUACAUGCAAGUCGAGCGAACAGACGAGGAGCUUGCUCCUCUGACGUUAGCGGCGGACGGGUGAGUAACACGUGGAUAACCUACCUAUAAGACUGGGAUAACUUCGGGAAACCGGAGCUAAUACCGGAUAAUAUAUUGAACCGCAUGGUUCAAUAGUGAAAGACGGUUUUGCUGUCACUUAUAGAUGGAUCCGCGCCGCAUUAGCUAGUUGGUAAGGUAACGGCUUACCAAGGCAACGAUGCGUAGCCGACCUGAGAGGGUGAUCGGCCACACUGGAACUGAGACACGGUCCAGACUCCUACGGGAGGCAGCAGUAGGGAAUCUUCCGCUAUGGGCGAAAGCUUGACGGAGCAACGCCGCGUGAGUGAUGAAGGUCUUCGGAUCGUAAAACUCUGUUAUUAGGGAAGAACAAAUGUGUAAGUAACUAUGCACGUCUUGACGGUACCUAAUCAGAAAGCCACGGCUAACUACGUG